AUCCUUUUGUAAUUCUUAAGUGCGAUGAUUAGGUUCACGCUCUUGUUGAGAUGUGCCUCCCUCAAACCUUGUUAUGACAUCAGCACAUUACGUGUCUGACA
This is a small nucleolar RNA of Pteropus vampyrus (large flying fox), 101 nucleotides long. The record is from Ensembl. NCBI's taxonomy places the organism in Eukaryota, Metazoa, Chordata, Mammalia, Chiroptera, Pteropodidae.